CAGCCGUAAACUAUGCUCGCUAGGUGUCAGGCAUGGCGCGACCGCGUCUGGUGCCGCAGGGAAGCCGUGAAGCGAGCCACCUGGGAAGUACGGCCGCAAGGCUGAAACUUAAAGGAAUUGGCGGGGGAGCACAACAACGGGUGGAGCCUGCGGUUUAAUUGGACUCAACGCCGGACAACUCACCGGGGACGACAGCAAUAUGUAGGCCAGGCUGAAGACCUUGCCUGAAUCGCUGAGAGGAGGUGCAUGGCGUAGACGUCU
RNAcentral lists this ribosomal RNA (261 nucleotides) under uncultured archaeon. Its description in RNAcentral is "partial 16S ribosomal RNA". It matches the Rfam family "Archaeal small subunit ribosomal RNA", at positions 748 to 1009 of the family's 1478-position model. The record is from RNAcentral.